CGCGCCCCGCGCCGCUCUCCCGGCUACGGCGAGCGGCGAGCGGCACAAAGAGCCGGCGCAGGCGGGGGGCGAAGCUCCCCCUGCCCUUCCCCGCACAGCCGGGCCAGCAAAGGUUCAACGAUCUUUCAGAAUCUGAAGUGGAGGAAUCUGAGGACCACACACCUAUAGUUGAAUCCCCACCAUCACUGGAUACCUUACCUGGUGUGGAAGCACCAGCAUCUGCAGCCCAGCCAUCUAUAGUGGAAUUGCCACUGCAGACCAGCUGGCUGUCAAGGAGCCACCACGUUCUGAUCACUUCCUGCUCAUUGUAUAGUCUGCAUCCAGGGAAAGCUCACCUGAGAUCAGAUCACCUGUGGGUGAACUUCGAGGUUUCAAAGUCAAGAUGCACACCUCCGAAUCCAAACAGGAUGGCAGUAACACCGUUGAGAAUGUGUUGUCAGCAACAGAGAUUACAUUUGAAUCAUUGGAGAAUCCAGAGAUUUUUGGAGACCCCUAUCAAGUCGCCAUGAAUUAUGCAGAGGAACAUAAAAUUCUACAGAUAUUUCAGGUGAAAUACAUAUUUCUUGUCUCCUUCCAGAGGCUUACAUGAGAAGCUUGGUCUAAAAUUAGCUUGAACCAAAUUAUCCCUCCCCC
Molecule: long non-coding RNA, 633 nt
Filed under: Lonchura striata (white-rumped munia)
Lineage: Eukaryota; Metazoa; Chordata; Aves; Passeriformes; Estrildidae
Description: domestica (Bengalese finch) lncRNA (ENSLSDG00000006215.1)
Source: RNAcentral